RNAcentral lists this ribosomal RNA (492 nucleotides) under uncultured bacterium. RNAcentral describes it as "partial 16S ribosomal RNA". It matches the Rfam family "Bacterial small subunit ribosomal RNA", at positions 29 to 507 of the family's 1533-position model. The record is from RNAcentral.
AGUGAACGCUGGCGGUAGGCCUAACACAUGCAAGUCGAACGGCAGCACAGUAAGUGCUUGCUCUUAUGGGUGGCGAGUGGCGGACGGGUGGGGAAUACAUCGGAAUCUACUUUUUCGUGGGGGAUAACGUAGCGUGACUUACGCUAAUACCGCAUACGACCUACGGCAGAAAGCAGGGGAUCUUCGGACCUUGCUCGAUUGAAUGAGCCGAUGUCGGCGUAGCUAAUUGGCGGGGUAGAGGCCCACCAAGGCAACGAUCCGUAGGGGGUGUGAGAGGAUGAGCGGCCACACUGAAACUGAGACACGGUCCCGACUCAGACGGGAAGCAGCAGUAGGGGAUAUUGAACAAUGGGAGGAAGCGUGAGCCAGCGGCAGCGCGUGGGUGAAGAAGACCUUCGGGUUGGAAAGCCCUUUUGUUGGGAAAGAAAAGCAGGACGUUAAGACCGCGGUGUUGUGACGGUACCGAAAGAAUAAGCACCGGCUAACUUCGUG